This 321-nucleotide long non-coding RNA is filed under the name Medicago truncatula (barrel medic). RNAcentral describes it as "lncRNA gene24598". Lineage: Eukaryota; Viridiplantae; Streptophyta; Magnoliopsida; Fabales; Fabaceae. The record is from RNAcentral.
UUCUGCCUCCAAAACAGUGGCUGAUGAGUGAUGAAAGUCUGAUUUCCCAAGUAAAAAAGUACCUGUAUAGUCGCGAAAACACAUACCAUACCCCAUGAUAGAAUUAUUAUUAAAUGCAGCUGCAUCGACAUUGCAUUUAAUUGUACCUAUCGGUGGUUUGAUCCAGGAGUGGACAGAAUUUGCGUGGUGAAUUGGUGCCUUUUCUCGUUGCAUACAACUCCAUUCGUUGAUGACAUCCUUUGCUCGAGUGACAAUAGAAAUUGGAGUAGUAUCUGUGGCCUCCCAAAGUUUGGAAUUACGACUCUUCCAUAAGCUCCAGAG